Molecule: RNA transcript, 3300 nt
Organism: Vidua macroura (Pin-tailed whydah)
Lineage: Eukaryota; Metazoa; Chordata; Aves; Passeriformes; Viduidae
Gene: HELQ
Gene name: helicase, POLQ like
Exons: 19
Source: RefSeq, a predicted model, not a curated record
AGCCCCGGCCAUGGCAGAGCCCAAGCUCGCCGUGUGCAGGAAGAACCGCUCCAGCUCGGAGCGCAAGCGGAGACGCGCCCUAGUGCAGCCCGUCGCCGCCAGCUCGCCGAUGGCUCGCAAGAGACCGAGUUCUGAUGGCGAGGGGCCCCCGGCGGAGGCCCCGUUCAGUAACGACAGCGAGGAGGAUAUGUUUGGUGACUAUGACAGCUUUUAUGGAAACGAUUCAUUGAUAGCUCAAGUGGCUGAUAUUGAACACAAAUACCUGCAGGAUAAAAAUAUAGAUGUGAAAGCAGCUGGAGAGAUUGUACUUGGGAACCUUCAGUCAGGAGUUCACCAGAAAGAGCAAGAUAACUUCUCUGCUUCACAAAAUGUGGUUGUCCUUAAAAGUGAUAAAGAGGGUGCCUGCCAAAUGUGUGACAGUGACCCAGCUGAUGGCAAUCAAGAAUUAGCAGAGUCUGUUUUAGAUGACUUGCCAUCGUCGCAACUUCUGUGUUUUGAAAAAAUGGAUGAACUUCCUUCUGCUUCUAGAACAUCUCCAAUCUCAGAAGGGAGGAAUGAAUGUGUGAAUUCUUUCUCAGACAAAAUCAGAGACCCAUUGUCUUAUGCUGGUGCUGAACACAGGGACAGACCUACUGACUCUUCCUCACGCUCCAAGUGUGUUCUAUUUAAAUCUGAGAGUCUCAAAGAUCACCUGAAAAGUGCUAUGACUGGAAAUGCCAGAGCCCAGACUCUGCAGGUCUCCAAGACUAAGCAGCUCAAAGAAGCUGUUUUAUCUGAAGAGAUUUUUGUGGCUAGGAAAGCUAUUGAAUCUUCUUCUCUUGAUAUAGGCCCUUUUUAUGGAUUACCUAGCAAGGUUAAAGAGUUAUUCAGACAACUUCGAGGGAUUGAAACACUUUAUGAGUGGCAGCAUGAUUGCUUAAUGUUAGAGUCCCUACAGCAAAGGAAGAACUUGAUAUACUCAUUGCCAACCAGUGGUGGAAAAACUCUUGUAGCUGAAAUAAUAAUUCUCCAAGAAUUACUCUGCAGGCAGAAGGAUGUUCUGAUGAUCCUGCCAUAUGUUGCCAUUGUCCAAGAAAAGGUUAGGGGUUUAUCGAGUUUUGGGAUAGAAUUGGGUUUCCUGGUUGAAGAAUAUGCAGGAAGUAAAGGAAGAUUUCCACCAAUCAAAAGGAGAAUAAAAAAAUCUCUUUAUAUUGCUACUAUAGAAAAAGGACAUGCUCUGGUGAACUCCUUAAUUGAAACAGAAAGAAUCAAUGACCUCGGCCUGGUUGUGGUAGAUGAGCUGCAUAUGCUCGGGGCAGGAAGUCGUGGAGCAGUACUGGAAAUUACUCUGGCGAAAAUUCUUUACACCAGUAAAAAGACACAGAUCGUCGGCAUGAGUGCAACAUUAAAUAAUGUUGGAGACCUGCAGAAGUUCCUGCAAGCAGAGUACUACACUAAUAAUUUUAGACCGGUAGAAUUAAAGGAAUACAUAAAGAUACGAGACACCAUUUAUGCAGUUGACAGCAAAACACAAAAUGGCUUUGCUUUUUCACGUCUCCUUAAUUUCAAGUAUUCUAGUAAUCUAGAGAAAGCAGAUCCUGACCACAUCAUUGCACUGGUUACUGAAGUUAUUCCUAAAUAUUCCUGCCUAAUCUUUUGUCCCACUAAAAAGAAUAGUGAAAAUGUGGCUUCAAUGGUGUCCAAGUACCUCAAAAAAGAAUUUAGAGCUCACAAGGAGAAAGAAAAACAAGAUCUCAUCAAGAACCUAAAGAGCAUUGGAAAUGGAACUGUCUGUCCUGUUUUGAAGCAAACAAUCCCUUUCGGUAUUGCCUAUCACCAUAGUGGCCUUACAAAUGAUGAAAGAAAAAGCAUAGAGGAAGCUUAUUCUGCAGGUGUCCUGUGUCUGCUUGCUUGCACAGCCACUCUAGCUGCUGGAGUGAACCUACCAGCUAGAAGGGUGAUUCUCAGAGCUCCUUAUGUUGGCAAUGACUUCCUGAAGAAGAGCCAAUAUAAGCAAAUGACAGGCAGAGCUGGUCGAGCUGGUAUUGACAGUGCUGGAGAAAGUAUUCUCAUAGUGCAAGAAAAAGACAAACACUUGGUUCAGGAUUUAGUUCACAGUCCUUUGGAGAAUUGCUACAGCAAUCUUCUGCUGGAGUUGACCAAGGGAAUGCAGAGCCUGUUGUUAUCUUUGGUUGGACUGAAGAUAGCAGUUACCCAUGAAGAAGUGGACAAUUUUAUGUGCUGUACAUUGCUGGGUGUUCAGCAGCAGCUGCUGUCUAAAGAGAAGAGCUUCUCAGAGAUAAUUAAAGAUGGGCUGGAAAAUCUAAUAGAAAAAGGACUCCUAAAAGGAGGAAUAUCUGAGAAGGACCACAAUUCCAAAUCUACACUGACAAUCACACCCUUGGGUAAAGCUACAUAUAAGGGCUCAAUAGACUUGGCAUACUGCAAUAUUCUGUAUAGAGAAUUGAAAAAGGGUUUGGAGGGGCUGGUUCUCGAGAGCAAUCUUCAUCUCCUAUAUCUGUCAACUCCCUAUGAUAUGACUUCUACCUGUAGCCCAGAUUGGAUGAUAUACUUGAGACAGUUCAACCAGCUAAGUGCAGCAGAGCAAAAAGUAGCAGAUAUUGUGGGAGUACCUGAAAGCUUUAUUACAAAAAUGGCUUCUGGUCAAGCCAUCAGAAAGAAUGUGGACAAUGCUGUGGUGAACAGGUUCUACCUGACAUUUGUGCUUUAUACACUACUGAAAGAGACCAAUAUAUGGAGUGUUUCAGAGAAAUUUAACUUGUCUCGGGGAUAUGUGCAGAAUCUCCUCAAUUCUGCUGCCUCCUUUGCAUCCUGCCUUCUACAUUUCUGUGAGGAAUUGGAAGAAUUCUGGGUUUAUAAAGCCUUGCUGAUGGAGCUUACCAAGCAGUUGACAUACUGUGUUAAGACAGAACUCAUCCCUCUGAUGGAGGUAGCAGGGGUUCUAGAGGCACGAGCAAAACAGCUUUACAAUGCAGGGUACAAAACUUUAGCACACUUGGCUAAUGCAAAUCCAGAAACUUUGGUGAGGAUGAUUGAGCACUUGUCACGACGUCAAGCCAAACAAAUAAUUUCAUCUGCAAAGGUUCUGUAACAAACACUGAGUUGUGUCUAAACAAAAAAUGCAGGAAGUGCUUUAUCAAGGGAUGGUAUUCUCUCUCUAUCUCCAUUCAUGAUCUGCUGUUGCAAUGGUAUUGGCUUCACAUUUGAUUCUACUAAGAGAGAAAUGCUGCUGAGUGAAAAAGCUGAGGCUUUACAGGAAGAAGUCGAAGAACUCUUAAAAGUGCCAACGGAUAUCCCAGG